RNAcentral lists this ribosomal RNA (478 nucleotides) under uncultured bacterium. RNAcentral's name for it is "partial 16S ribosomal RNA". It matches the Rfam family "Bacterial small subunit ribosomal RNA", at positions 28 to 523 of the family's 1533-position model. The record is from RNAcentral.
GACGAACGCUGGCGGCGUGCUUAACACAUGCAAGUCGAACGGUAAGGCCCUUCGGGGUACACGAGUGGCGAACGGGUGAGUAACACGUGGGUGAUCUGCCCUGCACUUCGGGAUAAGCCUGGGAAACUGGGUCUAAUACCGGAUAGGACCACUGCCUGCAUGGGUGGUGGUGGAAAGCUUUUGCGGUGUGGGAUGGGCCCGCGGCCUAUCAGCUUGUCGGUGGGGUGAUGGCCUACCAAGGCGACGACGGGUAGCCGGCCUGAGAGGGUGACCGGCCACACUGGGGAUGAGAUACGGCCCAGACUCCUACGGGAGGCAGCAGUGGGGAAUAUUGCACAAUGGGCGCAAGCCUGAUGCAGCGACGCCGCGUGAGGGAUGACGGCCUUCGGGUUGUAAACCUCUUUCAGCACCGACGAAGCGCAAGUGACGGUAGGUGCAGAAGAAGGACCGGCCAACUACGUGCCAGCCGCCGCAGUAA